Molecule: RNase P RNA, 402 nt
Filed under: Corynebacterium sp. SCR221107
Lineage: Bacteria; Bacillati; Actinomycetota; Actinomycetes; Mycobacteriales; Corynebacteriaceae
Description: RNase P RNA component class A
Rfam family: Bacterial RNase P class A
About the family: Ribonuclease P (RNase P) is a ubiquitous endoribonuclease, found in archaea, bacteria and eukarya as well as chloroplasts and mitochondria. Its best characterised activity is the generation of mature 5'-ends of tRNAs by cleaving the 5'-leader elements of precursor-tRNAs. Cellular RNase Ps are ribonucleoproteins.
Source: RNAcentral
UGAGCCAUCCAGGCGAUCGCGGCCGCGUGCAUCGGCGUAUUUGGCGUGCAGGCAUUCGGCCGAGGAAAGUCCGGACUCCACAGAGCGCAGUGGUUGCUAACGGCAACCCAGGGUGACCUGCGGGCAAGUGCAACAGAAAAUAGACCGCCAGGAUAUUUCCUGGUAAGGGUGAAACGGUGCGGUAAGAGCGCACCAGCACGGCGGGUGACCGUCGUGGCUGGGUAAACCCCACUGGGAGCAAGGCAAGAAGCACGCGCAUUUCGCGCGUGCGCGCGAACGAUUCUAGGGCUGCUCGCCCGAGUUCGCGGGUAGCUGCUUGAGGCAGUCAGCGAUGGCUGACCCAGAUGGAUGAUCGCCGCCGCGGACGCGGUACAGAAUCCGGCUUAUCGGGUGGCUCAUUCG